UCUGCAAUAGAUUUGUCUACAGUUGCUGCUAUUGUAUUACCGUGUUGUAUGCAUGUAACUGUGGCAUACAUGUGCUUCUUCUUCUUUUACUUUAUAUCGUUAUUCAGCUGCAUGAACCGUCCAUUGCUAUGUAAACAUAUAACUUAAUUAGUAGGAAUCAAAGAAUAUUGCAAUUACCAAUAAGUUGCAAACUGCUUCAAUUAUCUAAACAAAUGAAUAUAUUCUCUAAAAUAAAACUAGAAAUCCUCUUAUAGACCCAACAACUAAUGAGCCGUGGAAACUGUAAGGCACAUAUGGGCAGAAGCUUCCAUUCAUUAAGCUUCAGCUUGUUUACAGAAAAAGAAAUCUUGAAUUGUAUACAUUCAUGUGGUUAUUAUUUAAUGUUUUGAUGAUAGGGCUGUGAUGGGUCAAUACUCCUAGAUGAUACUUCUUCUUUCAUAGGGGAGAAAACCGCAGCUCCCAAUAAUAAUUCCGUGAGAGGAUUUCAUGUUGUUGAUGACAUCAAGUCCGAGGUGGAGAAAGUUUGCCCUGGUAUAGUUUCCUGUGCUGAUAUCUUAGCCAUUGCAGCUCGGGACUCUGUUGUUCUUGUAAGUAAAAUGGAAAAGGUCCAAAUAAUUAAAUUCCCUUCAAUAGAUUGAACUAUCUUUGAAUAUUAGUUACCUAAAAUCCUUGAAAAUUUGUUGUACCGGCUGCCCUAAUAGAUAACUUGAAUGACUUAAAGCAAUCAAUUAUGCUGCAGCUUGGAGGGCCAGGCUGGGAGGUUAAACUAGGAAGACGGGAUUCAAAGACAGCCAACUUUACUGCUGCCAAUAAUGGUGGUUUCAUCCCUUCUCCUACUUCUAAUCUAAGCGCACUCAUCUCCUCAUUCAGAGUUCAAGGUCUUUCAGCCAAGGACAUGGUUGCAUUAUCUGGUAUGAUCUCUUGUUUCUUUCUUGGCUUUAAUUAGGAUCUCUAGGUUAACAAAAAUAGCUUCAUGUUGGUAUAGGGGCUCAUACAAUUGGGAAGGCUAGGUGCACAGUUUUCAGAAGUCGCAUAUACAAUGAGGCGAACAUUGAUAGUUCAUUCGCAGAGACUAGGCGAAGAAACUGCCCGAGUGCUAGUGGCUCAGGGGACGACAAUCUAGCACCUCUAGACGUUCGAACUCCUGAUUGUUUUGACAAAAAAUACUUCCAGAACCUCAUGAACAAACAGGGCCUGCUCCAUUCAGACCAAGUAUUGUUCAAUGGCGGAUCCACCGAUUCCUUGGUUAAAAAAUACGGUAGCAGCACGAAGGCAUUCAAUUCCGACUUCGUCACUGCAAUUAUCAAGAUGGGAGAUAUCAAGCCGCUUACCGGGUCGCGUGGUGAGAUCAGGAAGAAUUGUAGGAAGCCCAAUUAAUAGGUGGAGAUUGUUUUUUCUCUUUGUUUUGAAAAUAAAAAACAAAAAUGGUGUUCACUUUUGAUAGUGAACUCGCCAUGUUUGUGGAUGUUUCUGUUUGCAAUGGAAUAAUGCAAUUGGCCAAAAAAAUAUGCCUAUGUAUAUUUCAUUGGAAGUGUACAGCUUACAAGAAAGGCUGGGUGUGCUGGAACAAAAAGUGCACCCCCUGCAAACACAAUCGUUUGACUGACUUGAUACUGACCAAAAAUAUAUCCCGAUUCAACAAUUAACAGCACCCAGAAAUCGGUACAAUACAGUAUUUACACUAAUCAUAGAAACACCCAUGAGGCCAGGAGAAGAUAAUCAAGGCAUAGCAGCCAAACCAUCUCAGUAGAGUUCCCGCAAAACAACAGACGUUCAAGAAGUUCACACAACAGAUUCGGAAGUUCACACAAUUACGGUCUGCCGACAAUAAAAAAUGACAGAUAUGAAGCAUUGCAACAAGGACCAGAACAGGGCAGAAAACAUACCAGGUCGGUAACCAGUAGAAAUUUGGAUGGGAAAAGGUCACGUCCUCAAGAACACAGGGAACCACACAAACUUAUGGCCAGGAAACAGCCAGAGGCCAAAAAGUU
This 1991-nucleotide long non-coding RNA is filed under the name Theobroma cacao (cacao). RNAcentral's name for it is "long non-coding RNA (TCAC_LNC005702)". The record is from RNAcentral. Lineage: Eukaryota; Viridiplantae; Streptophyta; Magnoliopsida; Malvales; Malvaceae.